GAAGGAUUCUGAGGUCCCAGGAUUUUGCUGUUCUUCAGCUGAUAUUUCUGUAUGCAUUGUUUUGGUUUGAUAGGUGGAAGUUUACUCUUUCUAAUAUUGUCAUUUUUCAGGAUCCUAUUUUGCUCCAUUUUUAGCUGUCAUACAUGUAAUUUUAUAAUUAUUCUAAUAGUUUCCUCAGUUAAUUUUACUUAGACUCAUUUAUUGAACUAACGACACAUUGGAGGGAAAGGUAACAUACAGCGUGUUGGGGGGCGGAUUCUUAAAUGUCUGCUUUUGCGAUUACACAUUUCCCCGACUCCUCAUUCUCCAGUGGCAGCCGAUUAGGAGGCCUGGUUACAGUGUUGUGCUUCUUUUUCAAUCAUGGAGAGUGUACCCGUGUAAUGUGGACACCACCUCUCCGUGAAAGCUUCUCAUAUCCAUUUCUUGUUCUUCAGAUGUUGCUUGUGACUCAUAUUCUCAGG
RNAcentral lists this small RNA (461 nucleotides) under Pan troglodytes (chimpanzee). RNAcentral describes it as "processed transcript". The record is from RNAcentral. Lineage: Eukaryota; Metazoa; Chordata; Mammalia; Primates; Hominidae.